AUUGAACGCUGGCGGCAGGCCUAACACAUGCAAGUCGAGCGGUAGCACAGAGAGCUUGCUCUCGGGUGACGAGCGGCGGACGGGUGAGUAAUGUCUGGGAAACUGCCUGAUGGAGGGGGAUAACUACUGGAAACGGUAGCUAAUACCGCAUAACGUCGCAAGACCAAAGUGGGGGACCUUCGGGCCUCAUGCCAUCAGAUGUGCCCAGAUGGGAUUAGCUAGUAGGUGGGGUAACGGCUCACCUAGGCGACGAUCCCUAGCUGGUCUGAGAGGAUGACCAGCCACACUGGAACUGAGACACGGUCCAGACUCCUACGGGAGGCAGCAGUGGGGAAUAUUGCACAAUGGGCGCAAGCCUGAUGCAGCCAUGCCGCGUGUGUGAAGAAGGCCUUCGGGUUGUAAAGCACUUUCAGCGGGGAGGAAGGCGGUGAGGUUAAUAACCUCACCGAUUGACGUUACCCGCAGAAGAAGCACCGGCUAACUCCGUGCCAGCAGCCGCGGUAAUACGGAGGGUGCAAGCGUUAAUCGGAAUUACUGGGCGUAAAGCGCACGCAGGCGGUCUGUCAAGUCGGAUGUGUAAUCCCCGGGCUCAACCUGGGAACUGCAUUCGAAACUGGCAGGCUAGAGUCUUGUAGAGGGGGGUAGAAUUCCAGGUGUAGCGGUGAAAUGCGUAGAGAUCUGGAGGAAUACCGGUGGCGAAGGCGGCCCCCUGGACAAAGACUGACGCUCAGGUGCGAAAGCGUGGGGAGCAAACAGGAUUAGAUACCCUGGUAGUCCACGCUGUAAACGAUGUCGAUUUGGAGGUUGUGCCCUUGAGGCGUGGCUUCCGGAGCUAACGCGUUAAAUCGACCGCCUGGGGAGUACGGCCGCAAGGUUAAAACUCAAAUGAAUUGACGGGGGCCCGCACAAGCGGUGGAGCAUGUGGUUUAAUUCGAUGCAACGCGAAGAACCUUACCUGGUCUUGACAUCCACAGAACUUCCCAGAGAUGGAUUGGUGCCUUCGGGAACUGUGAGACAGGUGCUGCAUGGCUGUCGUCAGCUCGUGUUGUGAAAUGUUGGGUUAAGUCCCGCAACGAGCGCAACCCUUAUCCUUUGUUGCCAGCGGUCCGGCCAGGAACUCAAAGGAGACUGCCAGUGAUAAACUGGAGGAAGGUGGGGAUGACGUCAAGUCAUCAUGGCCCUUACGACCAGGGCUACACACGUGCUACAAUGGCAUAUACAAAGAGAAGCGACCUCGCGAGAGCAAGCGGACCUCAUAAAGUAUGUCGUAGUCCGGAUUGGAGUCUGCAACUCGACUCCAUGAAGUCGGAAUCGCUAGUAAUCGUAGAUCAGAAUGCUACGGUGAAUACGUUCCCGGGCCU
Molecule: ribosomal RNA, 1361 nt
Filed under: uncultured bacterium
Lineage: Bacteria
Description: bacterial SSU rRNA
Rfam family: Bacterial small subunit ribosomal RNA
Source: RNAcentral